UGAGUGUGUUCUCCCAUCAGUGCACUUCUCCCAGGGGUGCUCACUGAAGCUGGUCCACGUCUAUAAACAGGUGACACUGGCUGCAGCAAAAAGCCAUUCGAUCCACACAAAUUGAUCUUCUAUCAUCUUGGAAUCUGAAUUGCAGGGAGGAGCAGCAUGUAAGACGACCGUUUAAUUCAGGCAUUCCGAAGGCAUGAGCGCAUGGAUUCUGUCACCAAGCGUAUAAAAGGACCCUGGCAUUGGGAAACCUAUGACGGACUGUUUUUGCUGUAGAAGUAGGGAUUUUACAGAAGUCUCCUUGAAUUUGCCCUGCCUGGGGCAGUUUUGCAGAGGAACCUGCCAGAGAUUUAUUGGCUGGUCAGUCUCUUGUGAAAUAGUAUCAUGUGAGAAACAGUUUGUAGAAAAAAACUAUACCUGGGAAGACCUUUGCAACAUUGUUCCUUCCAUGGGCCAAGACUCAGUUAGGAGGCAUAAAUCUGCCCGGAAUAAACUAGGCCAGGAUACAGCCAUGUUUAGUUAAUAAUUUGGUUUUAGAAUUCACACAGGCAGGAUUGGUUUUUUUGUGUCUUGGCAAGUGGAGCAUAUUUAACAUACAGGCAUGGGAAUCCUGCCUCUUAGCUUUUCCCACCCUCUUGUCUCACCAAGUUUUUUCUCUCCAAAGGUUUCCAGGAAUUUCUCAUUAAUGGCUGAUGCAAACUUAGUGAAUAAUAAUGAAUAUAAACAAUGCUCACCUCACCAAAAUUAUAUUAUUUGCAGUCAUUUGUGAUAACACAAAUUUUAUCGCAAUGGUUAUUAUUUAAUUUGUGGCCACACACUGUGGUUAUCUUUUGUUGUGGUUGUUUCUGAGAAAAUGUUCUUGGAUAUGUAAGUGCCAAUACCAGUGUGAAGUAUUGAUCCCGGGCAGCAAAAUACAGCCUAAGGUUUGUAAACAUCAAUUCUAUCUCAGUUCAUCAGAGGGCCUGAGAAGCUGCGGGGCAGUGUAAAGUAAAGUAUGCUGGGCUGGUGGUGGUCAGCCUUCCCCUUGCCAAGAAGAGAGCAAUUGAAUCCUGUCCCCAGCUCCCUCCAGCCUGAAGAGUGACCAGUGCUGGCCCGACGGAUCGCUGAGAUAUUCUCCCAUAAUGGCAAAAAAUAGGCAGUUUGAUGUGACCUGUUUAGUGUGGCUCUCCUCUUUUGAGCAUGUGUUAGCAUUUUUAUUUUAUACUCAUCCAGUGAACUCUGCUCUUCCAAGUGUGUUCAUGUAUGUGCUAGAUAUAUUAGCACAGCCUGCCUUCUGCUGCACAACGCCUUAGAGACCCGGCCUUUCAAUGAGCUUAGCUUGUGCUCUGUUUCUGCUCUCUUAGGUCUAAACUAUGGUGUCAGUUUUAAUAGAACAAAAGUAUGCAUCUUGCCUUGGCUUGAGCCUUUUCGUUUUCAAUGCUGACUUCUCCCCUUUCUCUCCUGUGCUCACCUUACCUUUCCAGAGUGUAAGGGACAACUUUUAAGGAGGCGUGUCCCUGGUAGGGGCAUCCCUGUUCACCAGGUGCCUGUCAUCACCCCACUUGACUGACAUCUACCCUGGUGACUAUGGGUUCCUCUUGUUUGUAGGGAACGGUGGCUCCAGGUGGAGGCAUCAAUCUGUUGGGUUCUGGUUCCCGGCUGCCUUUGGUUUUGAAAGUCUCUUCUCUGUAUAUUCCUACCCUGCAUUUGCUUUGUGUGGUGCUGAUGCUGUGCGCAGUAGGAUUCUUGGAUGACUCUCCAUCAGUCACAGACUCCCCCUGUUGCAAAGUGUCAGGCUGACUCGACAGUCACCGUAAAAUCUGAGUCAGUCACACACAGGCUGUCAGCCACGGCUUCCACUUGCAUGGCUAUUCUAUUUUCACACGUGAGUUUCUGUUGCUGGCUGGCUGACUGGCAUUAUCUAUGCUAAGUUGAAAUCAGGGGUGCCCAGCAGAGCCCAUCAUUCUCACUGUCUUUGAAACAAAGCUGUACGGUUUGAUCGAUGAACGUAUUUAAAGCAUUUCAUGCAAUGACAAAGUGCUCAGUAGUGGAAGGCAGGCUGUGACCAGUCUGCCUGCUCCUUACUAUAAUUGUGAGGAUUUGUUACUGGAACAGUACAUGGAGGCCUGACCUUGUGGGGGCACAGGGUGGAACCUUAGCUGAAUAUAGUGUGUGUCUCAAGAGGAAGUCAGGGUACUAGCUCAGUGCUCAAUCUCCAGGUACUAUAUAUACAUUUGCCCGUUUUAUCUCUAAUGUGAAAUAAAUCCCCAAACACUUGUUUAUCGUGUAGCGUACCUAAAAGACUAUUCUAUUAUGGGUGUCCCCACUUUCUUGGUUUGGUCACCCCGAUCCCCCGGUCUUCUGCUGUAUCUAGAACAGUGACUAUAAAUGAUGUAUGGGAAUAGUGUUUCCAUAUGAUCUGUUGUCUGGAGUAUAUGCUACAUGUUCAUUUACUGUACAAAAACCCAGUGCAGCUGAUGAUGCAAAGCAGUCUCUCUCUGUGUACAGUGCCCCACCUAUUUAAAAAUCACGUACUUGCCCAGAACACUGUGAAACACUUAACAUAAGAACAAACGCAGCGUCUGGAUUCUUUCCAAGGAGAGCAGCUUUCUCCACAGGAACACAGUAACAAAAGAGGUCCGCCGCCAUCCACACCCAGCCAAGACACCUCAGAGGCCAUAGGGACAACCUCCUUGCUGGCCAACACCUGCUGGAGCAGGGGCACAGGUCCCAGCAACUGAUCCUCAGUGGAUGGGUCUGCAGCCAAAGCCUUAAUGGGCUCUCUUUUGAAGGGGAAAGAAAGAAUUUCAAGCUUAUGAUAUCCAACAUUAUUAUAGUUGAUGAGUUAGUAAAUUCCAAAAAAAAAAGAUGAUUUUAUAUGUAUGACAUAAAAAAAAUCUUUGUAAAGUGCGCAAGUGCAAUAAUUUAAAGAGGUCUUAUCUUUGCAUUUAUAAAUUAUAAAUAUUGUACAUGUGUGUAAUUUUUCAUGUAUUCAUUUGCAGUCUUUGUAUUUAAAAAAACUUUACUGUUAUGUUUGUAUAAUAGAACAUUAAUCAUUUAUUAUAACUCAGACAAGGUGUAAAUAAAUUCAUAAUUCAAACAGCCAGUAUAUAUGCAUAUAUGGGUGUUACAUUGCAAAAAUCUCUAUCUUUGUUCUAUUCACAUGCUUAAAGAAGUAAGAAAUCUUUUGUGGAUAUGUAAUUAUACAUAUAAAGUAUAUAUAUAUGUAUGAUACAUGAAAUAUAUUUAGAAAUGUUCAUAAUUUUAAUGGAUAUUCUUUGGUGUGAAUAAUUGAAUACAACAUUUUU
This 3284-nucleotide long non-coding RNA is filed under the name Mus musculus (house mouse). Its description in RNAcentral is "long non-coding RNA chr17:8983355-8986639". Lineage: Eukaryota; Metazoa; Chordata; Mammalia; Rodentia; Muridae. The record is from RNAcentral.